ACGGUAGUAUGCUGCCCAGUAGUUGUACUGUAGUAUGUAAUACAGUCUUAUCCAGCCCAGUCUUGUACAGUUCUAUAGCCCAGUAGUAGGUAAGCCAGCACUAAAUAAUACAAAAUAAUGUGUCACCCAGUAGCAGUAAUAGGUGUUGCAGCAGCAUAAAAAACUCCUUUUGGUAUGUAAGCUGCGCUUCUCCCACGUGGGAGAAGAAAACAAAACCAGUCAGCAUUGAGGAGGCCUGUGUGGUCUGUGGCUGCUGCGUCCAUAUGUCUGACUGCCGGGCCCCCCACCCCUAUGGACCGUUAGG
Non-coding RNA from Pelobates cultripes (western spadefoot toad), 304 nucleotides. Lineage: Eukaryota; Metazoa; Chordata; Amphibia; Anura; Pelobatidae. The record is from the annotation of a GenBank genome assembly.